RNAcentral lists this ribosomal RNA (482 nucleotides) under uncultured bacterium. RNAcentral's name for it is "partial 16S ribosomal RNA". It matches the Rfam family "Bacterial small subunit ribosomal RNA", at positions 28 to 506 of the family's 1533-position model. The record is from RNAcentral.
GACGAACGCUGGCGGCGUGCUUAACACAUGCAAGUCGAACGCUGAAGCUCAGCUUUUGUUGGGUGGAUGAGUGGCGAACGGGUGAGUAACACGUGAGUAACCUGCCCCCUUCUUUGGGAUAACGCCCGGAAACGGGUGCUAAUACUGGAUAUUCACUGGUCUUCGCAUGGGGGUUGGUGGAAAGGGUUUUUCUGGUGGGGGAUGGGCUCGCGGCCUAUCAGCUUGUUGGUGGGGUGAUGGCCUACCAAGGCUUUGACGGGUAGCCGGCCUGAGAGGGUGACCGGUCACAUUGGGACUGAGAUACGGCCCAGACUCCUACGGGAGGCAGCAGUAGGGAAUAUUGCACAAUGGGCGCAAGCCUGAUGCAGCGACGCCGCGUGAGGGAUGGAGGCCUUCGGGUUGUGAACCUCUUUCGCUCAUGGUCAAGCCGCAACAAUGGUUGUGGUGAGGGUAGUGGGGAAAGAAGCGCCGGCUAACUACGU